CGCGGCCUAUCAGCUUGUUGGUGGGGUAACGGCCUACCAAGGCAUCGACGGGUAGCUGGUCUGAGAGGACGAUCAGCCACACUGGGACUGAGACACGGCCCAGACUCCUACGGGAGGCAGCAGUGGGGAAUAUUGCGCAAUGGGCGAAAGCCUGACGCAGCAACGCCGCGUGGGGGACGAAGGCUUUCGGGUCGUAAACCCCUUUCAGCAGGGACGAAACUGACGGUACCUGCAGAAGAAGCCCCGGCCAACUACGUGCCAGCAGCCGCGGUAACACGUAGGGGGCGAGCGUUGUCCGGAUUUAUUGGGCGUAAAGGGCUCGUAGGCGGUUGCGUAAGUCGGAUGUGAAAACUCAGGGCUCAACCCGGAGAAGCCAUCUGAUACUGCGCUGACUAGAGUCCGGUAGAGGAGCAUGGAAUUCUUGGUGUAGCGGUGAAAUGCGCAGAUAUCAGGAGGAACACCAGUGGCGAAGGCGGUGCUCUGGGCCGGUACUGACGCUGAGGAGCGAAAGCGUGGGUAGCAAACAGGAUUAGAUACCCUGGUAGUCCACGCCGUAAACGUUGGGCACUAGGUGUGGGACCUUACACAACGGGUUCCGUGCCGUAGCUAACGCAUUAAGUGCCCCGCCUGGGGAGUACGG
This 640-nucleotide ribosomal RNA is filed under the name uncultured Actinomycetes bacterium. Its description in RNAcentral is "bacterial SSU rRNA". It matches the Rfam family "Bacterial small subunit ribosomal RNA", at positions 232 to 885 of the family's 1533-position model. Lineage: Bacteria; Bacillati; Actinomycetota; Actinomycetes. The record is from RNAcentral.